RNAcentral lists this ribosomal RNA (516 nucleotides) under uncultured bacterium. Its description in RNAcentral is "partial 16S ribosomal RNA". It matches the Rfam family "Bacterial small subunit ribosomal RNA", at positions 29 to 523 of the family's 1533-position model. The record is from RNAcentral.
AGCGAACGCUGGCGGCGUGCUUAACACAUGCAAGUCGAACGUGAACGGGCUUCGGCCUUAGUAAAGUGGCGUACGGGUGAGUAACACGUAGGUAAUCUACCUUACAGUUUGGAAUAACCUGCCGAAAGGCGGGCUAAUACUGGAUAGAGCGAUGGGAAUCGUAAAGAUUCUUUCGGGAAAGGGAGCCUGAUAAGGGCCUUCGCUGUAAGAUGAGCCUGCGUCUGAUUAGUUAGUUGGUGGGGUAAUGGCCUACCAAGACGAUGAUCAGUAGCUGGUCUGAGAGGAUGAUCAGCCACACUGGAACUGAAACACGGUCCAGACUACUACGGGAGGCAGCAGUGGGGAAUCUUGCGCAAUGGACGAAAGUCUGACGUAGCCACGCCGCGUGAGUGAAGAAGGCCUUCGGGUUGUAAAGCUCUGUCGGAUGGGACGAAAAACGCUAAGUUUAAGAGAUGUAGCGUCUGACGGUACCAUCAAAGGAAGCACCGGCUAACUCCGUGCCAGCAGCCGCGGUAA